RNAcentral lists this ribosomal RNA (1243 nucleotides) under metagenome. RNAcentral's name for it is "bacterial LSU rRNA". It matches the Rfam family "Bacterial large subunit ribosomal RNA", at positions 1564 to 2816 of the family's 2925-position model. The record is from RNAcentral.
UGAGUACGAGAUGCUACGGCAUCGAAGCAGUCUAUGUCAUACUUCCAAGAAAAGCUUGCACUGUCAGAAACAGAUAAUGCCUGUACCACAACCGACACAGGUGGGUAGGUAGAGUAUACUAAGGGGCGCGAGAUAACUCUCUCUAAGGAACUCGGCAAAAUGACUCCGUAACUUCGGGAGAAGGAGUGCCUUAUUUUUAAGGUUGCAAUAACAAGAUCCAAGCAACUGUUUACCAAAAACACAGGUCUCCGCUAAGUCGUAAGACGAUGUAUGGGGGCUGACGCCUGCCCAGUGCCAGAAGGUUAAAGAAGUCGGUUAGCAUUCGCGAAGCUGGUAACUGAAGCCCUGGUGAACGGCGGCCGUAACAAUAACGGUCCUAAGGUAGCGAAAUUCCUUGUCGGGUAAGUUCCGUCCCGCACGAAAGGCGUAAUGAUUUGGAUACUGUCUCGGAGAGGGGCUCGGUGAAAUAGACUUGUCUGUGAAGAUGCGGACUACCUGCACCUGGACAGAAAGACCCUAUGAAGCUUUACUGUAACUUGAAAUUGAAAUUGGACUUUAUUUGCGCAGUAUAGGUGGGAGGCGUUGAAAAUAUUCUUGCGGGAAUAUUGGAGCCAUCAGUGAGAUACCACUCUUGUAAUGUUAGAUUUCUAACUUUAUAUCAUUAUCUGGUUAAAGAACAGUUUCAGGCGGGCAGUUUGACUGGGGCGGUCGCCUCCCAAAUGGUAACGGAGGCGCACAAAGGUUUCCUCUGAACGGGUAGAAAUCGUAUCUAGAGUGUAAAGGCAUAAGGAAGCUUGACUGUGAGACCUACAAGUCGAGCAGGGACGAAAGUCGGUCUUAGUGAUCUGACGGUGCUGAGUGGAAAGGCCGUCACUCAACGGAUAAAAGUUACUCUAAGGAUAACAGGCUGAUCUCCCCCAAGAGUUCACAUCGACGGGGAGGUUUGGCACCUCGAUGUCGGCUCAUCGCAUCCUGGGGCUGUAGUACGUCCCAAGGGUUGGGCUGUUCGCCCAUGAAAGCGGUACGCGAGCUGGGUUCAGAACGUCGUGAGACAGUUCGGUCCAUAUCCGGUGUAGGCGUUAGAAUAUUGAGAGGAGCCUUCUUUAGUACGAGAGGACCGAGAAGGACAUACCUCUGGUGUACCAGUUAUCGUGCCAACGGUAAACGCUGGGUAGCUAUGUAUGGAGUGGAUAACCGCUGAAAGCAUCUAAGUGGGAAGCCCACCUCAAGAUAAGUAUUCUCA